This 107-nucleotide small nucleolar RNA is filed under the name Gossypium hirsutum (cotton). RNAcentral's name for it is "Plant small nucleolar RNA R71". It matches the Rfam family "Plant small nucleolar RNA R71". From Rfam's summary of the family: R71 is a member of the C/D box family of snoRNAs containing the C (UGAUGA) and D (CUGA) box motifs. Multiple nearly identical copies of this snoRNA have been identified in Arabidopsis, and it is thought to function as a 2'-O-ribose methylation guide for 18S ribosomal RNA. Lineage: Eukaryota; Viridiplantae; Streptophyta; Magnoliopsida; Malvales; Malvaceae. The record is from Rfam by way of RNAcentral.
AUGCCAUGGUGUGGACACUUUCAUAACAACAGCUUAAAUCGUUCCAAUGCCUCAUACAAAUUUUCACCCUCAAUCUGUCGAAAGUUUGCAAUAUCGUGCCUCAGAUA